GAGCGUAGGCCGUCUGUUAAGCGUGUUGUGAAAUGUCGGGGCUCAACCUGGGCAUUGCAGCGCGAACUGGCAGACUUGAGUGCGCAGGAAGUAGGCGGAAUUCGUCGUGUAGCGGUGAAAUGCUUAGAUAUGACGAAGAACUCCGAUUGCGAAGGCAGCCUGCUGUAGCGUAACUGACGCUGAAGCUCGAAAGCGUGGGUAUCGAACAGGAUUAGAUACCCUGGUAGUCCACGCGGUAAACGAUGGGUGCUCGCUGUUUGCGUCUGACGUAAGCGGCCAAGCGAAAGCGUUAAGCAUCCCACCUGGGGAGUACGCCGGCAACGGUGAAACUCAAAGGAAUUGACGGGGGCCCGCACAAGCGGAGGAACAUGUGGUUUAAUUCGAUGAUACGCGAGGAACCUUACCCGGGCUUGAACUGCAGGCGGACGAUUCAGAGAUGUUGAGGCCCUUCGGGGCGCCUGUGGAGGUGCUGCAUGGUUGUCGUCAGCUCGUGCCGUGAGGUGUCGGCUUAAGUGCCAUAACGAGCGCAACCCCUGUUCUCAGUUGCCAUCGGGUGAUGCCGGGCACUCUGUGAAGACUGCCUCCGCAAGGAGUGAGGAAGGUGGGGAUGACGUCAAAUCAGCACGGCCCUUACGUCCGGGGCUACACACGUGUUACAAUGGCAUGUACAGAAAGCUGGCCGUAUGCAAAUACGGUCUAAUCCCUAAAACAUGUCUCAGUUCGGACUGGGGUCUGCAACCCGACCCCACGAAGCUGGAUUCGCUAGUAAUCGCGCAUCAGCCAUGGCGCGGUGAUACGUUCCCGGGCUUGCACUCACCGCCCGU
This 824-nucleotide ribosomal RNA is filed under the name uncultured Bacteroidota bacterium. RNAcentral's name for it is "bacterial SSU rRNA". It matches the Rfam family "Bacterial small subunit ribosomal RNA", at positions 567 to 1397 of the family's 1533-position model. Lineage: Bacteria; Pseudomonadati; Bacteroidota. The record is from RNAcentral.